This 354-nucleotide ribosomal RNA is filed under the name Triticum aestivum (bread wheat). RNAcentral's name for it is "partial small subunit ribosomal RNA". Lineage: Eukaryota; Viridiplantae; Streptophyta; Magnoliopsida; Poales; Poaceae. The record is from RNAcentral.
AUGGACAGAAUGGUGUUUGCUGUAGUUAAUGGAGGUUCUUUCUCUGGAUCAGCAGUGGACACAUAUAUAUCAAGCCCCGGCAGAUCAGAUCUUCCAUUCGGAUUUGACGGCGUUGGGGUCUCAAACUUGUCUUUCAGGACAGCAAGGUCAGUUGCUCGGUUAACAGGGCACAGCUUUGGCAGCUGGUCCAAGAUCCAAGAAAAGCCAAACCAGAGUUCACAAACAACAGACAUGCCCCAUAGCCACAUUGCAUCUUCAUUCUUAUGCUUAAUUCUCCAUGUAAGGAACAGACCAAGAACGGCCAAGCGGAUGAGAACAAGAAGCCUGCAGGAAGCAUCAAGGAAACCAAGUUAA